This 28-nucleotide small RNA is filed under the name Bombyx mori (domestic silkworm). RNAcentral describes it as "ovarian small RNA-34020". Lineage: Eukaryota; Metazoa; Arthropoda; Insecta; Lepidoptera; Bombycidae. The record is from RNAcentral.
UGCGUUACACGUGCGAUAAGAUUGCGGC